UAGGAUUGUGGGUAAUGCAGUCUUGGAUUUAUCACUCACUGGAGGAUUCUGGGAGAUUCCUCCCCCAUAAAGAUUUUAAAAGUAUAGUCUCAGGUUUACCACAGGCCCAGCGGUUCCUGGAACAUCUUUGCCUUAUAAUACAGGAACAUCUGAAAGCUUCAAGGACCAGAGGACUGUGGACAAUGCAAAAUUCAAAAUUGCCACCUAGCUGCAAAGAAUCCAAGGAACUACUUUCCUAAGGAUUAAAGGUAAUGAAACUCAACAAUUUUAAUGCUAACUGCAGGGUUAGG
RNAcentral lists this long non-coding RNA (290 nucleotides) under Ictidomys tridecemlineatus (thirteen-lined ground squirrel). RNAcentral describes it as "lncRNA (ENSSTOG00000034814.1)". The record is from RNAcentral. Lineage: Eukaryota; Metazoa; Chordata; Mammalia; Rodentia; Sciuridae.